GAUGCCUUUAACCGGGUGUCGGGGGCGGACGGCACGUUUACUUUGAACAAAUUUGAGUGCUCAAAGCAGGCUUAUGCCUGAAAAUUCUUGCAUGGAAUAAUGGAAUAGGACUUCGGUUCUAUUUUGUUGGUUUUCGGAUCCGAAGUAAUGGUUAAGAGGGACAGACGGGGGCAUUUGUAUGGCGGUGUUAGAGGUGAAAUUCUUGGAUCGCCGCCAGACAAACUACAGCGAAAGCAUUUGCCAAGGAUGUUUUCAUUGAUCUGGAGCGAAAGUCAGAGGUUCGAAGACGAUCAGAUACCG
RNAcentral lists this ribosomal RNA (300 nucleotides) under Collyriclum faba. RNAcentral describes it as "SSU rRNA". It matches the Rfam family "Eukaryotic small subunit ribosomal RNA", at positions 715 to 1017 of the family's 1831-position model. Lineage: Eukaryota; Metazoa; Platyhelminthes; Trematoda; Plagiorchiida; Collyriclidae. The record is from RNAcentral.